Molecule: transfer RNA, 94 nt
Filed under: Candidatus Woesearchaeota archaeon CG_4_10_14_0_2_um_filter_33_13
Lineage: Archaea; Nanobdellati; Candidatus Woesearchaeota
Description: tRNA-OTHER
Rfam family: tRNA
About the family: Transfer RNA (tRNA) molecules are approximately 80 nucleotides in length.
Source: RNAcentral
GGACUCGUAGCCUAGCCUGGAUAGGGCGACAGGACAAUUGUCCCGCUAGAGCCUUCUAAGCUGUAGACCGGGGGUUCGAAUCCCCCCGAGUCCA